Molecule: small nuclear RNA, 19 nt
Filed under: Arabidopsis thaliana (thale cress)
Lineage: Eukaryota; Viridiplantae; Streptophyta; Magnoliopsida; Brassicales; Brassicaceae
Description: snRNA_02284
Source: RNAcentral
UACUUUAUCAUCAAUUGAU